This 348-nucleotide ribosomal RNA is filed under the name uncultured bacterium. RNAcentral's name for it is "bacterial SSU rRNA". It matches the Rfam family "Bacterial small subunit ribosomal RNA", at positions 29 to 366 of the family's 1533-position model. The record is from RNAcentral.
AACGAACGCUGGCGGCGCGCCUAAUACAUGCAAGUCGAGCGAGAAGACGUAGCAAUACGUUUGUAAAGCGGCGAACGGGUGAGGAAUACAUGGGUAACCUACCCUCGAGUGGGGAAUAACUAGCCGAAAGGUUAGCUAAUACCGCGUACGCUCCUUGGACUUCGGUUCAGGGAGGAAAGCGAUGCCGAGGGUAUCGCGCUCUUGGAUGGGGCUCAUGUCCUAUCAGCUUGUUGGUGAGGUAACGGCUCACCAAGGCUUCGACGGGUAGCUGGUCUGAGAGGACGAUCAGCCACACUGGCACUGCGACACGGGCCAGACUCCUACGGGAGGCAGCAGUAAGGAAUAUUG